Eubalaena glacialis (North Atlantic right whale) is the source of this 351-nucleotide long non-coding RNA. RefSeq lists it as uncharacterized. Lineage: Eukaryota; Metazoa; Chordata; Mammalia; Artiodactyla; Balaenidae. The record is from RefSeq and is a predicted model, not a curated record. The transcript has 3 exons.
GUUACAGGGGCUGCUCAGACUGAAAGCCAGCGGAUUCCAGGGGAGUGAUAACACCUCACUUAACACUGCUCACCCAGAGCGGAGGUCGGGAGGCUGCUGGAGAGCUGCAGGAUAUGACCCCAAAGGAGCCCCGAGGGGCUGGGCCUGCUCAGGAGGAAGAUCAGAAUCCCCUUCAAGAAAGUAUGGUCAGCCCCGCUUCCAGGCCCCUGCAGCAAGCCACUGACUCGGCCCUGGAGAUGGAUGCAAAAGGGAGAAGCCUCAUUCGACAGGAGGCCAGUCCUGAGAACAGGGAGCCCCUAGGCAGAGAAGCUGCAGGAAUAUCAUAGACUAUUCUACAGUUUCCAUCAGUAG